CCAUCUCCUCCGCAAAAUAGUCCGGGAGCAGGAGCUAGGUGCGAGGGUUGCCCUCCAUCCAUACAAUGACUUCGCGGGCCACGACGGGGGAGCUACUUCGCGACCUGGGAGGCAGGGUAUCUCUGCCGUACUGGUGGUCCCGUCCGCGACCGCCUCACCCCCCCUUGCCCACGUCCACGAGCGAAACCUCUCCCAUGGAUGCUCGGGUUGACACGAGCCACCGAUGGGGAGUGCCCGCGUCCCUCGAGAGGUGUCGUG
Molecule: long non-coding RNA, 258 nt
Filed under: Hordeum vulgare
Lineage: Eukaryota; Viridiplantae; Streptophyta; Magnoliopsida; Poales; Poaceae
Description: long non-coding RNA (HVUL_LNC018573)
Source: RNAcentral